Molecule: non-coding RNA, 369 nt
Organism: Ictidomys tridecemlineatus (thirteen-lined ground squirrel)
Lineage: Eukaryota; Metazoa; Chordata; Mammalia; Rodentia; Sciuridae
Source: RefSeq, a predicted model, not a curated record
GUGGGCAGGCGACCAGGCACCGAAAGUUCCCCGGACGCCGCACACGCGACCUCCCCGAGGCCUGGCCGGCAAGUCCUCCACCCGGCGGGUCACGAUGGGGGGAAAGAGGGGACAGAAGUGGAAAGCAGAAGAGGGAGAGAUUUGCAGAGAAGAAAACAUAAUCAAUAAAACCUUGACAAAAGUGAACAUGUGAAAAAGACCAGAGAAUGGAAAAGCGAGAUAAAAGUGAUAUCCGAUCACAGAUUUCCGAGGCAGAUGACCAGCUCCUGCUGCUGAAGAAUCUCAAUGGGCCAUCGGCCUGGAGCCUCACUUUCCUUCCAUUUGCUACGACUCCUCAUUCAAGACAAUAGUAAAAGCACUAAAACUGUU